GGGUGAGUAAUGCGUCGGAACGUACCGAGUAAUGGGGGAUAACGCACCGAAAGGUGUGCUAAUACCGCAUACGCCCUCCGGGGGAAAGCAGGGGAUCGUAAGACCUUGCGUUAUUCGAGCGGCCGACGUCUGAUUAGCUAGUUGGUGGGGUAAAGGCCUACCAAGGCGACGAUCAGUAGCGGGUCUGAGAGGAUGAUCCGCCACACUGGAACUGAGACACGGUCCAGACUCCUACGGGAGGCAGCAGUGGGGAAUUUUGGACAAUGGGGGCAACCCUGAUCCAGCCAUUCCGCGUGAGUGAAGAAGGCCUUCGGGUUGUAAAGCUCUUUCAGCUGGAACGAAACGGUACGCUCUAACAUAGCGUGCUAAUGACGGUACCAGCAGAAGAAGCACCGGCUAACUACGUGCCAGCAGCCGCGGUAAUACGUAGGGUGCGAGCGUUAAUCGGAAUUACUGGGCGUAAAGCGUGCGCAGGCGGAUUGUUAAGCAAGACGUGAAAUCCCCGGGCUUAACCUGGGAAUGGCGUUUUGAACUGGCAGUCUAGAGUGUGUCAGAGGGGGGUAGAAUUCCACGUGUAGCAGUGAAAUGCGUAGAGAUGUGGAGGAAUACCAAUGGCGAAGGCAGCCCCCUGGGAUAACACUGACGCUCAUGUACGAAAGCGUGGGUAGCAAACAGGAUUAGAUACCCUGGUAGUCCACGCCCUAAACGAUGUCAACUGGUUGUUGGGGGAGUGAAAUCCCUUAGUAACGAAGCUAACGCGUGAAGUUGACCGCCUGGGGAGUACGGUCGCAAGAUUAAAACUCAAAGGAAUUGACGGGGACCCGCACAAGCGGUGGAUGAUGUGGAUUAAUUCGAUGCAACGUGAAAAACCUUACCUACCCUUGACAUGUCCAGAAUCCUGCAGAGACGCGGGAGUGCCCGAAAGGGAAUUGGAACACAGGUGCUGCAUGGCUGUCGUCAGCUCGUGUCGUGAGAUGUUGGGUUAAGUCCCGCAACGAGCGCAACCCUUAUCAUUAGUUGCUACGCAAGGGCACUCUAAUGAGACUGCCGGUGACAAACCGGAGGAAGGUGGGGAUGACGUCAAGUCCUCAUGGCCCUUAUGGGUAGGGCUUCACACGUCAUACAAUGGUCGGUACAGAGGGUUGUCAAGCCGCGAGGUGGAGCCAAUCCCAGAAAGCCGAUCGUAGUCCGGAUUGUUCUCUGCAACUCGAGAGCAUGAAGUCGGAAUCGCUAGUAAUCGCGGAUCAGCAUGUCGC
This 1256-nucleotide ribosomal RNA is filed under the name metagenome. Its description in RNAcentral is "bacterial SSU rRNA". It matches the Rfam family "Bacterial small subunit ribosomal RNA", at positions 104 to 1360 of the family's 1533-position model. The record is from RNAcentral.